GGCUUCCUACGGGGGGCAGCAGUGAGGAAUAUUGGUCAAUGGACGCAAGUCUGAACCAGCCAUGCCGCGUGCAGGAUGACGGCUCCAUGAGUUGUAAACUGCUUUUGUACGAGGGUAAACCCCGAUACGUGUAUCGGGUUGAAAGUAUCGUACGAAUAAGGAUCGGCUAACUCCGUGCCAGCAGCCGCGGUAAUACGGAGGAUCCGAGCGUUAUCCGGAUUUAUUGGGUUUAAAGGGUGCGCAGGCGGAAGAUCAAGUCAGCGGUAAAAUUGAGAGGCUCAACCUCUUCGAGCCGUUGAAACUGG
RNAcentral lists this ribosomal RNA (305 nucleotides) under uncultured bacterium. RNAcentral's name for it is "bacterial SSU rRNA". It matches the Rfam family "Bacterial small subunit ribosomal RNA", at positions 333 to 636 of the family's 1533-position model. The record is from RNAcentral.